GAUUCUGGCUCAGGAUGAACGCUGGCGGCGUGCUUAACACAUGCAAGUCGAACGGAAACUUAUUGAAACCUAGUGAUAUAAGUUUAGUGGCGGACGGGUGAGUAACGCGUGGGUAACCUGCCGUAUGCAGGGGGAUAACAGUUAGAAAUGACUGCUAAUACCGCAUAAGACCACAGUCUCGCAUGAGACAGGGGUAAAAACUCCGGUGGCAUACGAUGGACCCGCGUCUGAUUAGAUAGUUGGUGAGGUAACGGCCCACCAAGUCAACGAUCAGUAGCCGGCCUGAGAGGGUGAACGGCCACAUUGGGACUGAGACACGGCCCAAACUCCUACGGGAGGCAGCAGUGGGGAAUAUUGCACAAUGGGCGAAAGCCUGAUGCAGCCGACGCCGCGUGAGUGAAGAAGUAUUUCGGUAUGUAAAGCUCUAUCAGCAGGGAAGAAAAUGACGGUACCUGACUAAGAAGCACCGGCUAAAUACGUGCCAGCAGCAGC
Molecule: ribosomal RNA, 492 nt
Filed under: uncultured bacterium
Lineage: Bacteria
Description: bacterial SSU rRNA
Rfam family: Bacterial small subunit ribosomal RNA
Source: RNAcentral